AACGAACGCUGGCGGCAUGCCUAACACAUGCAAGUCGAACGAGACCUUCGGGUCUAGUGGCGCACGGGUGCGUAACGCGUGGGAACCUGCCCUUAGGUUCGGAAUAACUCCCCGAAAGGGGUGCUAAUACCGGAUAAUGUCUUCGGACCAAAGAUUUAUCGCCUUUGGAAGGGCCCGCGUUGGAUUAGCUAGUUGGUAGGGUAAAAGCCUACCAAGGCGACGAUCCAUAGCUGGUCUGAGAGGAUGAUCAGCCACACUGGGACUGAGACACGGCCCAGACUCCUAUGGGAGGCAGCAGUGGGGAAUAUUGGACAAUGGGCGAAAGCCUGAUCCAGCAAUGCCGCGUGAGUGAUGAAGGCCUUAGGGUUGUAAAGCUCUUUUACCCGGGAUGAUAAUGACAGUACCGGGAGAAUAAGCUCCGGCUAACUCCGUG
This 433-nucleotide ribosomal RNA is filed under the name uncultured bacterium. RNAcentral's name for it is "partial 16S ribosomal RNA". It matches the Rfam family "Bacterial small subunit ribosomal RNA", at positions 29 to 507 of the family's 1533-position model. The record is from RNAcentral.